Long non-coding RNA from Sorex fumeus (smoky shrew), 692 nucleotides. RefSeq lists it as uncharacterized. The record is from RefSeq and is a predicted model, not a curated record. The transcript is spliced from 3 exons. Lineage: Eukaryota; Metazoa; Chordata; Mammalia; Eulipotyphla; Soricidae.
GGCCGCUGCCAGGACGGCCAGGGCGCAAGAAACGGCAAAGGGAGGUCAGGCUUCACAGCAGGGAGAGGAGGGACAGCACGAAGUCAGAGGAGUGAGGAGGAAGGGCCUUCCGGGGCCAUUCCAGUCCAAUCUUUCCAGAUGCAAGAAGGAAACCCAGAGAGGGGCAGGGACUUGGCCAAGGCCCCGGAGAAAGAGGAUGGCGGCACCGGGAGUCCUGCUCCGAGCCAGUCCUCCACGGCUCUUCCUCGUCCCAUCUUCACUGUGACACUUCCCUUCCACCAAGGGAGUCCACCAGUGGCCCCUCCCUGGCCUGGGUUCGGCCUGCAGAGGCUCUGGUUGGUGCCCAUCAGCUGCCGCAGGGGCCAGUGCAGCCCUCCAGCUGCAGGCCAGCGUGGAACGUGUUAGCCCCACGCUCGGUGCUUUCUCGUGGAACCUCUGCAAUGCCGAGAGCUGGCGAUGCUCCGGGGGGUUACUCCAGUCUCUGCACCCAGGAAUCACUCCUGGUGGAGCUUCAGGGAACACGAGAGCAUGUUAGAGACCUAACCUGGUUCAGCUGCAGUUAAACUGUGCCGGGACACGUUCUGUCCAUGGAGAAGGCCCAGGUUCAGUUCCCGCAUUUCAUGGUAUGCUGGUACACCGCUGGGAGUGACCCCCGAGGCAUGGAGGCAGAAGGAGCCCCUGAGCACUGCUGG